CCGGGCAGCCGGGGUGGCAGCGGUACCCUGCACCAGCAAUCCGCUAUAGCUGGGGUGAUAUCCUGUCCCGGAUUGGAAAUUGCAAAGCAGCCCUUGAUAAGUGGCAUUGAAGUUUGGGUCUUGCGCAACAGGAAUCUGUGAACCGGGUCAGGUCAGGAAUGAAGCAGCCCUAAGCGGAAGCUCUUGUGUGCCGCGAGGCAGCCUGGGCGGAGUUAACUGUCAAGGUAACGUUUGUAAUCAAAAUUCAAAACAGGAUGCCCGG
Molecule: signal recognition particle RNA, 262 nt
Filed under: Lachnospiraceae bacterium
Lineage: Bacteria; Bacillati; Bacillota; Clostridia; Lachnospirales; Lachnospiraceae
Description: signal recognition particle sRNA large type
Rfam family: Bacterial large signal recognition particle RNA
About the family: The signal recognition particle (SRP) is a universally conserved ribonucleoprotein involved in the co-translational targeting of proteins to membranes. Archaeal SRP consists of a 7S RNA and homologues of the eukaryotic SRP19 and SRP54 proteins.
Source: RNAcentral